AACGAACGCUGGCGGCAUGCCUAACACAUGCAAGUCGAACGAGACCUUCGGGUCUAGUGGCGCACGGGUGCGUAACGCGUGGGAACCUGCCCUUAGGUUCGGAAUAACUCCCCGCAAGGGGUGCUAAUACCGGAUAAUGUCUUCGGACCAAAGAUUUAUCGCCUUUGGAUGGGCCCGCGUUGGAUUAGCUAGUUGGUAGGGUAAAAGCGUACCAAGGCGACGAUCCAUAGCUGGUCUGAGAGGAUGAUCAGCCACACUGGGACUGAGACACGGCCCAGGCUGCUACGGGAGGCAGCAGUGGGGAAUAGUGGACAAUGGGCGAAAGCCUGAUCCAGCAAUGCCGCGUGAGUGAUGAAGGCCUUAGGGUUGUAAAGCUCUUUUACCCGUGAUGAUAAUGACAGGAACGGGAGAAUAAGCUCCGGCUAACUCCGUG
Molecule: ribosomal RNA, 433 nt
Filed under: uncultured bacterium
Lineage: Bacteria
Description: partial 16S ribosomal RNA
Rfam family: Bacterial small subunit ribosomal RNA
Source: RNAcentral